GACUCUAGGGGCUGAAUGGCCUACUCCUGUUCCUGUGUUCCUAUGUGUCCUACGUUCCUAACUUCCUUUGGGAACCCUGAAGAUCAUCUAAUGCUACUAAGUAGGUGCUCAGAGGGCAUAUAAAGAAGAAUCGAGGAACUAUGUACAUUCUGACAAAAUGGAGCGUGUGGUUCGAACAGCAAGUUAGACUUCCCUUCAUUUUGCAUUUCUAAGACAAUCAAUUGCCUCAGGAGUUCUAGAAUCACGGAAUGAGGAGAAGAAUCCUUCCAAGAUUGCAGCGUCACUUGGUCUCAUGCUCCCGCGUAUCAGUACUGUAUAGAAUCAGCAAUUUGCAUGAUAUAGCUUGAGUCACGUGCAUUAGGUCAUUCACUGAAGUAACAGCAGAUGAAAAGGAUGGCCCAGGAAACAGCUCAUAGGGAGCAUCCUCAUACACCAGCUUAGCAGAACAAGUCAAUGACACACUGUUUGCAGACCCAACCUUAAAAUAAAAUAAGUUUUGUGUGCCAACAAUUGUUCAAUGCGCUAGACUAUCUGCUGAGCAGUUUACAGACUAUGUAGGAUAUUCUGGAGCAGCACACUCUUUGGGAUUCUGAGAUAUUACAUCUAA
Chiloscyllium plagiosum (whitespotted bambooshark) is the source of this 607-nucleotide non-coding RNA. Lineage: Eukaryota; Metazoa; Chordata; Chondrichthyes; Orectolobiformes; Hemiscylliidae. The record is from RefSeq and is a predicted model, not a curated record.